Molecule: ribosomal RNA, 247 nt
Filed under: Escherichia coli
Lineage: Bacteria; Pseudomonadati; Pseudomonadota; Gammaproteobacteria; Enterobacterales; Enterobacteriaceae
Description: partial 16S ribosomal RNA
Rfam family: Bacterial small subunit ribosomal RNA
Source: RNAcentral
CAGCAGCCGCGGUAAUACGUAGGUGGCAAGCGUUGUCCGGAUUUAUUGGGCGUAAAGCGAGCGCAGGCGGUUCUUUAAGUCUGAUGUGAAAGCCCCCGGCUCAACCGGGGAGGGUCAUUGGAAACUGGAGAACUUGAGUGCAGAAGAGGAGAGUGGAAUUCCAUGUGUAGCGGUGAAAUGCGUAGAUAUAUGGAGGAACACCAGUGGCGAAGGCGACGACCUGGACUGAUACUGACACUGAGGUGCG